Long non-coding RNA from Rattus norvegicus (Norway rat), 793 nucleotides. RefSeq lists it as uncharacterized. The record is from RefSeq and is a predicted model, not a curated record. NCBI's taxonomy places the organism in Eukaryota, Metazoa, Chordata, Mammalia, Rodentia, Muridae.
GGUAAAGGCAUGUUCGCCAUAAAGCUGUUGUUUGUCAGGCAAGCUCAAUACCAUCCAUGCUUAAUGGUUCACGCAUCCAUAUUUUCACCACAGACGCUGUGUGUCCCUAGAAUGUUGCCGUACAUUCGAAGGAAAACCGACAGUUUCAACCGUCUUCCUCGUGCCAAAAGUCAAGUCUUCAUACCUGCAUUCGCCUCUCUUCCACGUGUAUUUCUAAACUUCCCUCGUGGAAGGCUAUGGCAGACGUUCUUUUGUAUCUAUUGUGUUCAAAGUUUCCAGAUGGACAAGCCAUGCAGUUGCAGGCACUCCCUUGUUCACAUGGUAUUGACUAACAGUUCUAUGGUUACGUUCGGUUGAAAGAGAUACUGAAUUAUGUGGUCCCCAACUGUGUGGUCAUAAACAUUUUAGUACUGGGACCUGCCUCAAUGAGGAAGAAAAUUAAAAUGACUUCUGCAGUCAACUUGCUAAGCUAUCAUCCAUUGCUUCUGAGAUGCAGAGACCUUCUGUGGACAUCAACCCGCCUGGGCAUAUAGGACUGGAUUCAUCUUUUCCCAUUGAGGCUAGACAAGACAUUUCAGAAUCUGACGUAGUAAAAGUAAGAGCGGGAGACUGCAAUCAAUCGUUUCCUAACUUCGAUGAACUCAGAAGCGGAUAGCUUCCACAAAAUGCGAAAGAAAAGACAGAUUUUACAGUUCCCAUCAGACUGUGUAACUCCCCUGACAAACUGUCCCAAUGGCUUUGCACUGCUCUGAGAGAUAAAUAAUAAAUACCCACCAUUGCUAGCCCGACAAAA